CAACUUUAACCUUGUUAGUUGUUAAAACACAUAUUCUCAAUAUGGGUUAUUAAAUUUUGAAUUUAGAUUGAAUAAUAUUUACAUUCUUGAAUAAUAGUGCUUCCUUUUUAUUUUAUUUGAAGAGAUUACUUUAAAAAACAAAAAAAAAACCAAAAACAAUAUAGCGGGCCGACAGAAGGACCCGAUCAACCCGGCUGACACGCAUCCCCAUGCUCUUCAACUCUCCUCCACCGAUUUUUAUUAAAACUUUACAUUUAUUUAUUUCUACUUUUGUUUUUC
Molecule: long non-coding RNA, 279 nt
Filed under: Capsella rubella
Lineage: Eukaryota; Viridiplantae; Streptophyta; Magnoliopsida; Brassicales; Brassicaceae
Description: long non-coding RNA (CRUB_LNC002858)
Source: RNAcentral